Molecule: ribosomal RNA, 253 nt
Filed under: uncultured bacterium
Lineage: Bacteria
Description: partial 16S ribosomal RNA
Rfam family: Bacterial small subunit ribosomal RNA
Source: RNAcentral
UACGUAGGGGGCAAGCGUUGUCCGGAAUCAUUGGGCGUAAAGCGCGUGUAGGCGGUUCGAUAAGUCUGCUGUGAAAGUCCAGGGCUCAACCCUGGAAGGCCGGUGGAAACUGUCGGGCUAGAGUCCGGAAGAGGCGAGUGGAAUUCCCGGUGUAGCGGUGAAAUGCGCAGAUAUCGGGAGGAACACCAAUGGCGAAGGCAGCUCGCUGGGACGGUACUGACGCUGAGACGCGAAAGCGUGGGGAGCAAACAGG